UACGGGGGGGAGCAAGCGUUGUUCGGAUUUACUGGGCGUAAAGGGCGGGUAGGCGGCCACCGCAAGUCAGUUGUGAAAUCUCCGGGCUUAACCCGGAAAGGUCAGCCGAUACUGCGGGGCUAGAGUGCAGAAGGGGCAACUGGGAAUUCUCGGUGUAGCGGUGAAAUGCGUAGAUACUCGAGAGGAACACCUGCGGCGAAGGCGGGUUGCUGGGCUGACACUGACGCUGAUGCGCGAAAGCUAGGGGAGCAAACAGG
This 257-nucleotide ribosomal RNA is filed under the name uncultured bacterium. Its description in RNAcentral is "partial 16S ribosomal RNA". It matches the Rfam family "Bacterial small subunit ribosomal RNA", at positions 524 to 776 of the family's 1533-position model. The record is from RNAcentral.